GUGAAUCAUCAAAUUUUUGAACGCAAAUUGCGCUCUCUGGUAUUCCGGAGAGCAUGCCUGUUUGAGGGUCAGUAAAAAUAAAAAUCGGUGUAUUGGCUGCCUUUCGUGGUGACUUGCCGGUUUUGGGUCGCCUUGCCUUCGUUUGAGUGACUUAAAAUUUUUCGUGAUAUUUUUCUUACGUAUUCAAAUGAUUUUACGUACUUUUGCGUUAGCGAAUACUAGGUG
RNAcentral lists this unclassified non-coding RNA (225 nucleotides) under Glomeromycotina sp. RNAcentral's name for it is "partial contains 5.8S ribosomal RNA and internal transcribed spacer 2". The stretch from base 1 to 71 matches the Rfam family "5.8S ribosomal RNA", at positions 84 to 154 of the family's 154-position model. The record is from RNAcentral. Lineage: Eukaryota; Fungi; Glomeromycota.